UCUCUUUUGGAAUUCUCAGGGUGUCAUUCUUCCAACUUUACUGAUGAGGAAACCAAGCCCAGGGGGUAAGGGAUAAUAUGUCCAGAGAAAGUAAAGGAAACAGGAAAAGAAACAGGGAAGUAAAGGAAAGGGGAUUCAAACAGAGGCCUGCUGAGGAUCCUGUCAUGCCAUGCUGAAAGAUGACCCACUGGUGCCUUCACGUCUCAUCUCAUGUAUCAAUCUACACAAACUUACAGAGUGGACAACAGAAGAUGAGGAAACUAAAGUUUGGUGAGGCAAAGCAAGUUGCCCAAGAUCAACACCCAGGACAUGGGAGAGCAGGAUUGCAAUCUGGCCGGCUAGCCCUGGAGCCCACACUCCCGAAAACCACAGUUGGCUCUCUUGCUGCUAUCUCUGUUGGUCUUCCUGCUUCGUGUCCCUCCUUCAGGAGCCAAGUACCCAGAGAAUGGACCGCAUGGGGUUGUACCAGCGUUUACUAGGUGCUGUUCCAAUCUGCCUCCCUGCCCUGACUGGUGAACUCUCAGCUUCCUCCAUUCCCUGCCUCCUGGCAAGCAGAGGGGAAAGAUGAUCCCCGAUUGUAGAAAUCCAGGAGGCGUGGCAAGGUGGCUUUUUGGCGGGCUCGUAAAUUGCCAAGUGGAUUAUGGAGGAUAGAUAAGCCGGAAGACGCCAGGCACAGCUUGGAUGUAUUUCAUUUCUGAUCACACCGGAAUGGAGCAAGAAUUAUGGACAAAGUGCAUAGACCCAAGCAGCCAUGCUUGAUCAUUUACACCCCUCGCUGUCAUUUUUAAUCUGCGGUGUCUGUUCUCUCCAACCCCGAAAACACCAAACCCGGCCUCUUGAAGAACCUCUUCACUCGAGUCUUUCUCAAUAUGUCGAGCCUUUCUCAAUAUUUGGCAUGGUUCCCAUGGGAGCUUCCCCACACUGUGACCCUGCUGUGGGGACUAAACACGAGAAUGAGUCUGGUGGAGGGGGCACUUGACAUCUGGUUUGUAAAUUAACAUCAACCACAUGUGCAUGUGCCCAUAUCCACACUCCUUUCUCCAAAGCCCCAUCACAUUUUAGAGAUAAAAAUGAGUUGGGAGCAUAAGCUUUUGGGUCAUGUGGAAUUGAACUGGAAUAUUAAUCCCAACACUUACAAAUGGUGGGAGUUUGGAGGGGACAUUUAAUCUCUUUCAGCCUCAGUAUCCUUAUUUGUAAAUGGGCUAAUGACAUCUACCUUAUGGAGUUGUUGGACAUGUGGGGUUGUGUCCAUGAUGAGAACAUGCAUCUGACACUUGGUAGAGUUCAUGGUACCUAGUUAAGACUUUAAGCAUGACAGUUAUUAUCAUGGUUAUUGUCCAGACACAAGAUGAUGGACCUGCUCCCUGAGGCCAACUGAGAUGCGUCCAGGCUUAGAUUCACAGAGUCCAUGACUGGACACAGGUUGGAUGGAUGGAUGGAUGGAUGGAUGGAUGGAUGGACAAGUGGAUGGUUAGUUUU
Molecule: long non-coding RNA, 1479 nt
Filed under: Vulpes vulpes (red fox)
Lineage: Eukaryota; Metazoa; Chordata; Mammalia; Carnivora; Canidae
Description: lncRNA (ENSVVUG00000000106.1)
Source: RNAcentral